Long non-coding RNA from Oncorhynchus keta (chum salmon), 405 nucleotides. RefSeq lists it as uncharacterized. The transcript is spliced from 2 exons. Lineage: Eukaryota; Metazoa; Chordata; Actinopteri; Salmoniformes; Salmonidae. The record is from RefSeq and is a predicted model, not a curated record.
UAUUAGUGUUGGGAGCUAGAAACACACGUAUAUUGCUGCACCUGCAGAUCUGUGUUACGCGACCAAUAAACGUUGGUUUGAUAGUGAAUAGCCGUCAUGCUGACUUGAGACUGUUUACAUUCUGUGUUUACGGGGACGUAAUGUCGCCACCACCGUCCGUCAAAAACCACAGUACUUACUCCCGGGGCAGCUGCAGGGGAGGCGCGCCUCUCCUCUGAAACACGCCGUCCACGAAGACGCCGUUCUUCCCGAGGCAGCGCAGCGAAAACCCGCACGGCUCCUCGAAGGUGAUCUGCAGGUGCCGCCGAGAGAUGAAGCUCGAGUGACCCAUGUUUAUAUCCACGGAGCCGUGCGACGAGUUACGGCCUACGGUCACUGUCCGCUGCCUCAUGACGAAAUCAAAGU